Clupea harengus (Atlantic herring) is the source of this 1307-nucleotide long non-coding RNA. The record is from Ensembl. Lineage: Eukaryota; Metazoa; Chordata; Actinopteri; Clupeiformes; Clupeidae.
GUGUUCAGCUGUGAAUGUUCUGUCCGGCAAGACUGGAAAUUACACAGUGACUCUUCACGUGACUGAUCCAGUUGCGGUGCGUCCCAUCACAGUAACACCAGCUAUAGCAGACGGAUCCUAUUCCCUGCAGUGUGUUGGAGCACAGCAUCAAUCUAAUAUUCAGUGGACCAAGAAUGGGAAACCUCUGUCUACAAGUGACAGAGUCCAUCUUGCUGACAACAACGUUACCCUUUCAUUUGAUCCACUCCGUCCACCUGAUGCAGGCGUAUAUGAGUGUAUUGUCACUGAGCAAGGAAAAGUCAUCCCUGGAGUCUCCUAUGAGCUGAAGGUCAUCUAUGGGCCACUGACUCCUGUGUUAACUCAGUCUGGUAACAGACCAGUCGGACAGACAACAUUCCUUCCCCCAGGAACUACAGACACAUUUUUCUGCUCAGCUGAAUGCUACCCAGCUUGUACUUACGUGUGGUUUUUCAAUAGAGAAAUGGUUGCCACAAAUGGUUGCCACAGCUACUCUAUCAGCACAGCAAGUAUAGCUGAUGAGGGUGUUCUUGAAUGUGUGCCGUACAAUCCAGUUACCCAAAACUAUGCCGCUGUUCAGACGAACAUUGAAUUGACUGAUGGCCCAAAGAAUGUCACUAUCUCUGGGCCAAACUCACUACAGGUAGGACUGAAGUCCACUUUUGAGUGCUCAGCUGUCUGCUCCCCACCUUGUGUCUACACAUGGGAGCUCUAUGGGAAAACACUGCAAGGCAGUAAGGUGGAGCUCACCAUCAGCCACUAUGUGGCCACUGAAACCCUGAUAUGCAUAGCAGUGAAUGCCGUCACUGGAAAUCUCGCUGCAGCAAAUGAAACACUUGAUGUCACAGAUCCUGACUGGUGUGGAUGUUAAAUGCAUUACCAGAUUGAAUGUCUACAUAUAUACAAUUUCAGUAGUGUGUGUUCCUUGAUUGCUUCCUUGAUGUCUCCAUCUGAACAAAUACCUUUGAACGCGGAGAGGAAGGACUAAAAAGAAAACUAAAAACGUAUCUCUUUACCUUAGCCUUUAACUAGCUACGACUUUGCACUAUAUAUAUACAUAUUUUUUUUUAUGUGUUUUACUUUGAUCUUCAUAGUGAUGUAACAUGAUAUUAAGGGGUUAGAUAAACUAUAUCUAUGUCUUAUUCUCUAUCUUAUGUUAUGCAUUUUAUGUAUUCUGUUUUAUCUUAGAUCUUUAUGCACUCUAUCCCUGUUUUUAUGUUUUAUGUUUUAUGUUUAUUUUAUGUAUAUUUUUAUGUGGAUCACUGUGCAUGUAAUUUCCUUUUGCACGU